Molecule: ribosomal RNA, 1343 nt
Filed under: uncultured bacterium
Lineage: Bacteria
Description: 16S ribosomal RNA
Rfam family: Bacterial small subunit ribosomal RNA
Source: RNAcentral
GACGAACGCUGGCGGCGUGCUUAACACAUGCAAGUCGAACGGAAAGGCCCUGCUUUUGUGGGGUGCUCGAGUGGCGAACGGGUGAGUAACAUGUGAGUAACCUGCCCUUGACUUUGGGAUAACUUCAGGAAACUGGGGCUAAUACCGGAUAGGAGCUCCUGCUGCAUGGUGGGGGUUGGAAAGUUUCGGCGGUUGGGGAUGGACUCGCGGCUUAUCAGCUUGUUGGUGGGGUAGUGGCUUACCAAGGCUUUGACGGGUAGCCGGCCUGAGAGGGUGACCGGCCACAUUGGGACUGAGAUACGGCCCAGACUCCUACGGGAGGCAGCAGUGGGGAAUAUUGCACAAUGGGCGGAAGCCUGAUGCAGCAACGCCGCGUGCGGGAUGACGGCCUUCGGGUUGUAAACCGCUUUCGCCUGUGACGAAGCGUGAGUGACGGUAAUGGGUAAAGAAGCACCGGCUAACUACGUGCCAGCAGCCGCGGUGAUACGUAGGGUGCGAGCGUUGUCCGGAUUUAUUGGGCGUAAAGGGCUCGUAGGUGGUUGAUCGCGUCGGAAGUGUAAUCUUGGGGCUUAACCCUGAGCGUGCUUUCGAUACGGGUUGACUUGAGGAAGGUAGGGGAGAAUGGAAUUCCUGGUGGAGCGGUGGAAUGCGCAGAUAUCAGGAGGAACACCAGUGGCGAAGGCGGUUCUCUGGGCCUUUCCUGACGCUGAGGAGCGAAAGCGUGGGGAGCGAACAGGCUUAGAUACCCUGGUAGUCCACGCUGUAAACGGUGGGUACUAGGUGUGGGGUCCGUUCCACGGGUUCCGUGCCGUAGCUAACGCUUUAAGUACCCCGCCUGGGGAGUACGGCCGCAAGGCUAAAACUCAAAGGAAUUGACGGGGCCCCGCACAAGCGGCGGAGCAUGCGGAUUAAUUCGAUGCAACGCGUAGAACCUUACCUGGGUUUGACAUGGAUCGGGAGUGCUCAGAGAUGGGUGUGCCUCUUUUGGGGUCGGUUCACAGGUGGUGCAUGGCUGUCGUCAGCUCGUGUCGUGAGAUGUUGGGUUAAGUCCCGCAACGAGCGCAACCCUUGUUCACUGUUGCCAGCACGUUAUGGUGGGGACUCAGUGGAGACCGCCGGGGUCAACUCGGAGGAAGGUGGGGAUGACGUCAAGUCAUCAUGCCCCUUAUGUCCAGGGCUUCACGCAUGCUACAAUGGCUGGUACAGAGAGUGGCGAGCCUGUGAGGGUGAGCGAAUCUCGGAAAGCCGGUCUCAGUUCGGAUUGGGGUCUGCAACUCGACCUCAUGAAGUCGGAGUCGCUAGUAAUCGCAGAUCAGCAACGCUGCGGUGAAUACGUUCCCGGG